RNAcentral lists this ribosomal RNA (1539 nucleotides) under Klebsiella pneumoniae. Its description in RNAcentral is "bacterial SSU rRNA". It matches the Rfam family "Bacterial small subunit ribosomal RNA". The record is from RNAcentral. Lineage: Bacteria; Pseudomonadati; Pseudomonadota; Gammaproteobacteria; Enterobacterales; Enterobacteriaceae.
AAAUUGAAGAGUUUGAUCAUGGCUCAGAUUGAACGCUGGCGGCAGGCCUAACACAUGCAAGUCGAGCGGUAGCACAGAGAGCUUGCUCUCGGGUGACGAGCGGCGGACGGGUGAGUAAUGUCUGGGAAACUGCCUGAUGGAGGGGGAUAACUACUGGAAACGGUAGCUAAUACCGCAUAACGUCGCAAGACCAAAGUGGGGGACCUUCGGGCCUCAUGCCAUCAGAUGUGCCCAGAUGGGAUUAGCUAGUAGGUGGGGUAACGGCUCACCUAGGCGACGAUCCCUAGCUGGUCUGAGAGGAUGACCAGCCACACUGGAACUGAGACACGGUCCAGACUCCUACGGGAGGCAGCAGUGGGGAAUAUUGCACAAUGGGCGCAAGCCUGAUGCAGCCAUGCCGCGUGUGUGAAGAAGGCCUUCGGGUUGUAAAGCACUUUCAGCGGGGAGGAAGGCGAUAAGGUUAAUAACCUUGUCGAUUGACGUUACCCGCAGAAGAAGCACCGGCUAACUCCGUGCCAGCAGCCGCGGUAAUACGGAGGGUGCAAGCGUUAAUCGGAAUUACUGGGCGUAAAGCGCACGCAGGCGGUCUGUCAAGUCGGAUGUGAAAUCCCCGGGCUUAACCUGGGAACUGCAUUCGAAACUGGCAGGCUAGAGUCUUGUAGAGGGGGUAGAAUUCCAGGUGUAGCGGUGAAAUGCGUAGAGAUCUGGAGGAAUACCGGUGGCGAAGGCGGCCCCCUGGACAAAGACUGACGCUCAGGUGCGAAAGCGUGGGGAGCAAACAGGAUUAGAUACCCUGGUAGUCCACGCCGUAAACGAUGUCGAUUUGGAGGUUGUGCCCUUGAGGCGUGGCUUCCGGAGCUAACGCGUUAAAUCGACCGCCUGGGGAGUACGGCCGCAAGGUUAAAACUCAAAUGAAUUGACGGGGGCCCGCACAAGCGGUGGAGCAUGUGGUUUAAUUCGAUGCAACGCGAAGAACCUUACCUGGUCUUGACAUCCACAGAACUUUCCAGAGAUGGAUUGGUGCCUUCGGGAACUGUGAGACAGGUGCUGCAUGGCUGUCGUCAGCUCGUGUUGUGAAAUGUUGGGUUAAGUCCCGCAACGAGCGCAACCCUUAUCCUUUGUUGCCAGCGGUUAGGCCGGGAACUCAAAGGAGACUGCCAGUGAUAAACUGGAGGAAGGUGGGGAUGACGUCAAGUCAUCAUGGCCCUUACGACCAGGGCUACACACGUGCUACAAUGGCAUAUACAAAGAGAAGCGACCUCGCGAGAGCAAGCGGACCUCAUAAAGUAUGUCGUAGUCCGGAUUGGAGUCUGCAACUCGACUCCAUGAAGUCGGAAUCGCUAGUAAUCGUAGAUCAGAAUGCUACGGUGAAUACGUUCCCGGGCCUUGUACACACCGCCCGUCACACCAUGGGAGUGGGUUGCAAAAGAAGUAGGUAGCUUAACCUUCGGGAGGGCGCUUACCACUUUGUGAUUCAUGACUGGGGUGAAGUCGUAACAAGGUAACCGUAGGGGAACCUGCGGUUGGAUCACCUCCUUA